CCUACGGGAGGCAGCAGUAAGGAAUCUUCCGCAAUGGGCGAAAGCCUGACGGAGCAACGCCGCGUGGGCGAUGAAGGCCUUCGGGUCGUAAAGCCCUUUUCUGUGGGACGAUAAUGACGGUACCACAGGAAUAAGCCACGGCUAACUACGUGCCAGCAGCCGCGGUAAUACGUAGGUGGCUAGCGUUAUCCGGAUUCACUGGGCGUAAAGAGCGCGUAGGCGGUGUGCUAAGUUGGACGUGAAAGCCCCCGGCUUAACCGGGGGAGGUCGUCCAAUACUGGUGCACGUGAGGGUGGACGGGGAAAGCGGAAUUCCAGGUGUAGCGGUGAAAUGCGUAGAUAUCUGGAGGAACACCGGAGGCGAGGGCGGUCUCCGGGCCGGUUACUGACGCUCAGGCACGAAAGCGUGGGGAGCAAACGGGAUUAGAUACCCGGGUAGU
This 439-nucleotide ribosomal RNA is filed under the name uncultured bacterium. Its description in RNAcentral is "partial 16S ribosomal RNA". It matches the Rfam family "Bacterial small subunit ribosomal RNA", at positions 338 to 794 of the family's 1533-position model. The record is from RNAcentral.